Long non-coding RNA from Mauremys mutica (yellowpond turtle), 352 nucleotides. RefSeq lists it as uncharacterized. The record is from RefSeq and is a predicted model, not a curated record. The transcript is spliced from 3 exons. NCBI's taxonomy places the organism in Eukaryota, Metazoa, Chordata, Testudines, Geoemydidae.
CUGGAAGAUGCGCCGCAGGCCAAUCAAGAGACAAGAAGUUCGGCAAAGACCCAGGGCAGGUCUGGAGCGCUCCUCGCGAGCCAAGCAAUUCACUAACGUGCAAUUGUACUCGAGCCCGUGAAGGCAAUUUGCAGAACAUCAGAGAAAAACGCUCAGUCGCAGCUCCCGGGGAGUUUGGCCACAGAGCGUCCAAGGGCAGUGAGCUUGACCCAGAUGAAACACAAGUAAAACCCACCAAACCUGCAUGGUAUGGUUCCAGAAGCUGCGAGUUUCACCUGCUGACUAUGUAGAAAAGUAUGACCCGAUCCAGUGGAUGGAAUCUGAAGCUAGAGAAACUGAGACUGGAAAUAAG